CCUUUGUACACACCGCCCGUCGCUACUACCGAUUGAAUGGUUAUAGUGAGCAUAUGGGAUCAGUAGGAUUAAACUGGCAACAGUUUUUCCCUGCAGAGAACUAUGGCAAACUAGGCUAUUUAGAGG
RNAcentral lists this ribosomal RNA (126 nucleotides) under Mucor hiemalis. RNAcentral describes it as "partial small subunit ribosomal RNA". It matches the Rfam family "Eukaryotic small subunit ribosomal RNA", at positions 1657 to 1779 of the family's 1831-position model. The record is from RNAcentral. Lineage: Eukaryota; Fungi; Mucoromycota; Mucoromycetes; Mucorales; Mucoraceae.